UACAGAGGGGGCAAGCGUUAUUCGGAAUUAUUGGGCGUAAAGGGCGCGUAGGCGGCUUGGCAAGUGGAUGGUGAAAUCCCUCGGCUUAACCGAGGAACGGCCGUCCAAACUGCUUCGCUUGAGACCGGGAGAGGUGAGUGGAAUUCCCAGUGUAGCGGUGAAAUGCGUAGAUAUUCGGAAGAACACCAGUGGCGAAGGCGGCUCACUGGCCCGGUACUGACGCUGAGGUGCGAAAGCGUGGGGAGCAAACAGG
RNAcentral lists this ribosomal RNA (253 nucleotides) under uncultured bacterium. RNAcentral's name for it is "partial 16S ribosomal RNA". It matches the Rfam family "Bacterial small subunit ribosomal RNA", at positions 524 to 776 of the family's 1533-position model. The record is from RNAcentral.